This is a small nuclear RNA of Otolemur garnettii (small-eared galago), 126 nucleotides long. NCBI's taxonomy places the organism in Eukaryota, Metazoa, Chordata, Mammalia, Primates, Galagidae. The record is from Ensembl.
GUGUUGUAUGAAAGGAGAAAAGGUUAGCACUCCCCUUGACAAGGAUGAAAGGGGCCCUCAGGCCUGACAACAUGCAUACAGUUAAGGCACUGCCACCUACUUCAUGGCAUCUAACCAUCCUUUUGG